CAGGCCUAACACAUGCAAGUCGAACGAGAAGCCGGGCUUCGGCCCGGUGGACAGUGGCGCACGGGUGAGUAACGCGUGGGAACCUGCCCAUGAGUGGGGAAAAACGGUUGGAAACGACCGCUAAUUCCGCAUACGCCCUACGGGGGAAAGGCUUCGGCCGCUCAUGGAUGGGCCCGCGUCCGAUUAGCUUGUUGGUGAGGUAAUGGCUCACCAAGGCGACGAUCGGUAGCUGGUCUGAGAGGACGAUCAGCCACAUUGGGACUGAGACACGGCCCAGACUCCUACGGGAGGCAGCAGUGGGGAAUAUUGGACAAUGGGCGAAAGCCUGAUCCAGCCAUGCCGCGUGAGUGAUUUGAAGGCCCUAGGGUUGUAAAGCUCUUUCGGCGGGGAAGAUGAUGACGGUACCCGCAGAAGAAGCCCCGGCUAACUCCGUGCCAGCAGCCGCGGUAAUACGGAGGGGGCUAGCGUUGCUCGGAAUCACUGGGCGUAAAGCGAGCGUAGGCGGCCGCGCAAGUCGGGGGUGAAAGCCCGGGGCUCAACCCCGGAACUGCCCUCGAAACUGCGUGGCUAGAGGCCGGGAGAGGAGAGUGGAAUUCCCAGUGGAGAGGUGAAAUUCGCAGAUAUUGGGAGGAACACCGGUGGCGAAAGCGGCUCUCUGGAACGGUUCUGACGCUGAGGCUCGAAAGCGUGGGGAGCAAACAGGAUUAGAUACCCUGCUAGUCCACGCCG
RNAcentral lists this ribosomal RNA (729 nucleotides) under uncultured bacterium. RNAcentral's name for it is "bacterial SSU rRNA". It matches the Rfam family "Bacterial small subunit ribosomal RNA", at positions 43 to 802 of the family's 1533-position model. The record is from RNAcentral.